GUGAAAUCUGGAAAGACCUGAACUGAUGGUGGCGGGAGAGGUUGGUGGACGACCAGCUUUGGAGAGCGCUGCCCAGACAUCUGCGUGAAGAGUGUGGACCAGGAACCUGGCGUGUCCCGGGACCAUCCAGGAGGCCAGUGGGCUGGAGAUGAGAGGCUGGGAGGGUUGGCGGGGUCCCAGCACGCUGGUGGACGGCCCCGUGGGCAGCACCGAGAAGCGGGCAGUGUAGAGGGGACGUGGGUAGUGUUUUGUUUGUUUCUAAGUUGAGCGCCAUCAAGGAAUAUCGUCUGAUAACAGGAAUUAUCUAGUAGAAAACGGAGACACUGCACCAUGGGAGAAAUGUGAUAGGAGGGGUUCGAACAGAAGGGUGCGUGGUGAGGGUUGAUCUUGGAACGUCUGCUGUGAACUGGCAGAGUCAGAGGAUGUAAGGACAGGUUCAGGUAGAUUGGAGGGGUUGGCGGGUAAGAGGGACGUAAGAUAGUUUACAGACUAUUUAUUUAUUUAUGUAAGUUUAUUAUUUAUUUUGAGAGAGAGAGAGAGAGAGAGAGAGAGCGCGAGCGAGCAGGACAGGGGCGGAGAGAGAGGGAGAGAAAUCCCAAGCCAGCUUUGUGCAGUCAGCACAGAGCCUGAAGCAGGGCUUAACCUCACGAAUCAUGAGAUCGUGACCUGAACCGAAGUCAAGAGUUGCUGAACCGGCUGAGCCACCGAGGCGCCCCAACGGACUGUUUAUAUUUGAGGAAGUGGGUCACCUGGACGUUUGGAAGAGAGCGGAGGGCACGGACUGGCUGUCGGUGACACGGGGAAGUGAGUUUCCUGGGGAGCCGAGCAGCACAGUUCAUUUGGGACUGGUGGCCACGCACUUGACGUGAGUCUUGUUAGCAGAUCGAGGGCGUUUUCUCCAGCAACUUCCAGCCGCUCGGAGGCAGGUGCAGCACCAGCAGGUGGUUGGGUGUGACCAGAGUUAGGGAUUUUCCAGGUAAGCGAAGUUUGCAUUCAUUGAUCCCGCGAGGAGAGCAAGGGAGGUAAAAGGCUCUUAGUAACAGUUGUAGCAAAAUCUCAGAUCAAAGCUGGGGAGGGAGGGACCAGGGACACAGGUGACGAGUGCAGUGUGCACACGGCCGGC
Molecule: long non-coding RNA, 1123 nt
Filed under: Felis catus (domestic cat)
Lineage: Eukaryota; Metazoa; Chordata; Mammalia; Carnivora; Felidae
Description: lncRNA (ENSFCAG00000048780.1)
Source: RNAcentral